Molecule: ribosomal RNA, 434 nt
Filed under: uncultured Desulfobulbus sp.
Lineage: Bacteria; Pseudomonadati; Thermodesulfobacteriota; Desulfobulbia; Desulfobulbales; Desulfobulbaceae
Description: bacterial SSU rRNA
Rfam family: Bacterial small subunit ribosomal RNA
Source: RNAcentral
UGCAACGCGAAGAACCUUACCUGGUCUUGACAUCCCGGAGACCCUUAGGAAACUAGGGGGUGGCUUCCAUCUGGAAGAAUCUGGAGACAGGUGCUGCAUGGCUGUCGUCAGCUCGUGUCGUGAGAUGUUGGGUUAAGUCCCGCAACGAGCGCAACCCUUGCCUUUAGUUGCCAGCAGUUCGGCUGGGCACUCUAAAGGGACUGCCGGUGUUAAACCGGAGGAAGGUGGGGAUGACGUCAAGUCCUCAUGGCCUUUAUGACCAGGGCUACACACGUACUACAAUGGUCGAUACAAAGGGCAGCGACACUGCGAGGUGAAGCCAAUCCCGUAAAAUCGGUUUCAGUCCGGAUUGGAGUCUGCAACUCGACUCCAUGAAGUUGGAAUCGCUAGUAAUCGUGGAUCAGCAUGCCACGGUGAAUACGUUCCCGGGCCUU